Molecule: ribosomal RNA, 613 nt
Filed under: uncultured soil bacterium
Lineage: Bacteria
Description: bacterial SSU rRNA
Rfam family: Bacterial small subunit ribosomal RNA
Source: RNAcentral
AUGCAAGUCGAACGUGAAGCCGGGGCUUGCCCCGGUGGAAAGUGGCGAACGGGUGAGUAACACGUGAGGAACCUGCCCCGGAGACCGGGAUAACCCAGGGAAACUUGGGCUAACACCGGAUGCCUUCACCGAAUCACAUGGUCUGGUGAAGAAAUGGAUUCCGCUCCGGGAUGGCCUCGCGGCCUAUCAGCUUGUUGGUGAGGUAACGGCUCACCAAGGCUUCGACGGGUAGCUGGUCUGAGAGGACGAUCAGCCACACUGGGACUGAGACACGGCCCAGACUCCUACGGGAGGCAGCAGUUAGGAAUCUUGCACAAUGGGGGAAACCCUGAUGCAGCGACGCCGCGUGCGGGACGAAGGCCCUCGGGUCGUAAACCGCUUUCAGCAGGAACGAAAUUGACGGUACCUGCAGAAGAAGCCCCGGCCAACUACGUGCCAGCAGCCGCGGUAAUACGUAGGGGGCGAGCGUUGUCCGGAUUCAUUGGGCGUAAAGAGCUCGUAGGCGGUUCGGUAAGUCGGGUGUGAAAUCUCCGUGCUCAACACGGAGCGGCCACCUGAUACUGCCGUGACUCGAGUCCGGUAGGGGAGUGUGGAAUUCCCGGUGUAGCGGUGA